AUGGGUUCGGGGCGAUCUAAGUCUCCACCACCAGACUGCAGCAUUACAAAAUUAAUGAGACGUAAAUAUGGUGAUGAGUGCGUGUCAUGUCUUCACGACUGGACAAAACAUUAUGGGUUUCAAGAAGGUGGAUCACUCAGUGUGAAGGACAUACGCGCUUUAAAAGAAAUAUUAGAAGAAAAGGAGAAACAGCUCCGCAAAAGUAGAACGAUCAAAGUUAAAACUUUAGAGGAAAUUGAAUUAAACAAAAGAUGCCUUGAAAUUUGGGUUAAAGAAUCAGAACGCAGGGAAAGAUUGAAAUGCCAAAAAGAGUUAGGAGGGAGAAAGGACGAGAGUGGUGACGUAGCUGGCAGAAAAGAUAACAACUCUGUGGAAGCUCGCACACCGCCACCAUACACACAUACACACACACAACAUGAUGAGAAACAAAGCACUCCCACUGUUUCUGCUUUGUAUCCCUUUGCAGAGCUGAGCGCGGUCAAGGUGAAUCCCGACCUGGACUCCUUCUACGUCAGCAGGAGGGCCGGGCAGGGUGGACAGCAGGACCAACAGCAACAGCCUGACCAACAUCAACUGCCUGCACCACAUCAACAGCUUGACCAACAUCAACUGCCUGCCCCACAUCAACAGCCUGCACCACUGCAACAGCCUAGCCCACACCAACAGCCUGGCCAACCUCUGUCAUCAGGAGCUGCAACAUCAGCUGCAGAGCAGUCAGAGCAUAUGGAGGACAGUGUAAAUGCCACACCAACUCCUGGAAUGGAGGCACAGACGUUCUGGGCCAAUUCACCUGUCGGCUUCAUUCCUACAUCAUCCACUGCCACAAGCUCUGCACCAACUGCUACUACGAGUGCUGCCUCUGCAACUACCAGCGUUCGCACCCUAAGGAGCAACACACCAGUAGCUCCAGAAAUCAGCUUGCCCAUGGUGGAAGUGGCCGGCCCUGAAGGAAGCAUGUUAGUGCACAGACCAUGGACUAGCGCUGACAUAGCUGACUUUGCCCACACUCUUCCAGACAUCACUGUAUCGGGAAAGACAUUCGGUGCCAACCUUCUGGCUUUCUGCCAGGAGUACAGACCCACUGGAGCUGAGAUUCGUCGCAUCCUGGCCAAACGUCUUGCACCUUGUGAAUACCAAAAGCUGGCUAGACAAUUCCCUGAUGUGACACUUGCUCUCAAACACAAAGACUGGACAAACAACUUAAAUGAUGGAUUUGUUGCCGCAGUGAGGACGCUUGUUGCCCACCUCGAAACUGCGUUCCCCGACAAAGUCUGUAUGAUUAAAGUCACUACAUGCAAACAACAACCAGAGGAAUCAGUUUAUGACUUUGUUCACCGCCUCACCACUGCAUACAACACACACGGAGGAGCUCACCCUCCCCCGGAAGGAGUGGGAGGACUCAUCUGUUCAACAUACGAGAGUCACCUGUGUGAACUGGUGAUGAAAGGCUUACUCCCUGAAGUUUUUGACGCCGUGAAGCAGUCAUACAUCGGAUGGAAAGAAGAAGCGCGUCUGUCUGACCUCACAAGACACGCACGCCAUGCUUAUGACACUCUCCAGCAGAAGAAGAUGGCGAAGAAGGAAAAACAACAGAGCGAAUUGUAUCUGCCAUCCUUGGAGAUGUUCUCUGCAAUGCAUAACAACAACAGAGGAGCGGGCAGGUAUCGCGGGCGAGGACGAGGAAGAGACUUCAGACGGAAUUGGCACAACAGAGACACAGGAGGCGCAUCUGGAGAUCCAGGAAACGCCUGCCACAUCUGCGGCGAGAUGGGACACUGGAGGAAGUACUGCCCGCGGCUAGGUCAGGUUCCACCCUCCCGGGCACUCUCGUCAGACUGA
This 1839-nucleotide long non-coding RNA is filed under the name Betta splendens (Siamese fighting fish). RNAcentral describes it as "lncRNA (ENSBSLG00000019242.1)". Lineage: Eukaryota; Metazoa; Chordata; Actinopteri; Anabantiformes; Osphronemidae. The record is from RNAcentral.